UCUUGCUCAGGGACACAUUGGUGGAUUUGAACCAAGGGCUCUCACACCAAAGGUGUACAAACAUAAAAUGUGAUCCAUGUUCUGCCUGGUUUCAUGAGAGCUGUGGUGAAGAGAAUGGUAUCUGUGAUGACGAUGGUUUAAUUUGCAAAGACUGUGUUUGAAAAAAACUUUCAUCACACACACACACACAAAUCAGUUAUCAGUUAUCAAUUUUGAAUAUGCAUUUUUGUAAUUUGCACAUUUUGUUCUAAAUAUAUUGUUCACACACACACACACACACACACACACACACACACAAACACACACGCAUACACACCCACACACACACACACAACUGACAUCAGUUCACUGACCUAUGUUGUUCCAAAAUUGACUUUUUUUAAUUGCACAUUUGAAUAUGUGGGUUUGCACCCAAAAUGUAUUUUUUUUUUAAUGGCACAUAUGGAUAUGUUUUUUUAAUGCAGUUUAAAUGUUAUGUGGCUAUAUAAGCAGUUGUUUUGAAAUUAAAAUUGAUGAUAAAUUACUAUUUCCCUUUGCAGUUUGAACGGACCAUUUUACCUGAACAGCUGGCCCAUUUUACCUUAAACUGCUCAUGCAAAAAAGUUGGCACAACUGAUGUUUCAAGAACUGUAGGGCCUUAAUAAUUAUAUUUUAUUACAUAAUUUCAACACAAAAUUAUCAAAAACAGUCAUUAUUAAUCAUAAAUACACAUGGAAUAGGCAUAUAUGGUAUUGUAUUAUUGUCCCAAACGAUUUACCAAAAAGUGGCCCAAUUUAGCUGAUAUCACCCUACUGAUGCUAUGGACUGUGGGAUUACUAACAGACUAUUAAAAAAAAUCUGUCUCUUUUUUUUCUUUAUUAAAAGUUGGUCUAGACAAGUACAUGAAUCAAAUGUUUUGCAAAUCCGCUCGAAAGAUCUGAUCUCAAAUGAUUCGCGACACGCGCUUCGGAGUCCCGAUCUGAAUCAAAUGUUUUGCGCACUCGCUCCGAAGCCCCGAUCAAAUGAUUCACGAAACGCGCUUCGGAGUCCCGAUCUGAAUCAAAUGUUUUGCCGACUCGCUCCGAGAUCUCAAGUUAUUUUCCAGUGAAAGUGUAAGCAUCUCAUCCCUAAAUAAGGGGAGUGUUAAUACUGAGAGCGUCCUCCGUGUUUCCUCAUGACGCGCUGGGGAAAAGGAACACCUGUGUGGCGUAAUUAGAGGGAAGCAUUAUGGAUGAUGUAUUUGUUGUCGCAGGAGGGUUUUUUUGGGUUGUUACUGAUGAGUUCCUUGCCAAAGCUGCCUUGCCGGGACGUGGGUUUAAGAUUGUUGUGCGAAUCGAUCGGGAGGGAUAUUUUGCUGGGGUUUUCCCCGUUUACGUUUGGCGGCCGCUGUUGAGUUCACUGAACGCGGAACCCACGUCCGGUAGCGGGUAAGAAAGCCAGCAGUACAUGUUGUUUUUAUUAUUGUGUUGGAUGUUAAUGUCUGUUCCUGCUGUGUUUGCCGGGGAGGCCCUGAUGUGUGUGAACCCAAUGAUCCCCCGGCGCUAUUUGUGUGUAAAGGGAGUGUGUGUGUGUGUGUGUGUGUGUGUGUGUGUGUGUGUGUGUGUGUGUGUGUGUGUAAGGGUUAUCCUUUCCCAUACGCCUCCGAUACAGUUGACGACGGCUAGAUAUUUAGCACGAGUAUGAUUGACGGUUUGUGGUGAUCAAUAUUUGAUAUGCAUUUAUUGGUGUGAUAUUUAUGACUAUUAGGUUUUGCAGUGUAAUGAACAAAAAAAAAAAAACUAAACUUAUUUAUCAUUUCAUAGUUUUCCCACUGACGAAAAUAAAAAAAGCAUUGAAAUUGGGCGACGACAGGAGGAGGCGACAAUUACUGUGAGGAAAGGUACUUUAGUGUGUGCUAAGCCCUUCACGGAGGAAGAGGUCCGUGUUUAACCGGAGUACGGUCGAUCUCGCACCGUGGGCUGUGUCUUCCAGGUUUGCGUGGAAAAGUUUGUGUUGCAGAGCAGUAAAUGUGGAGAUGUGCAGGAGCACGAUUACAACAGCCGUCCAGUCCCAGGUGAGUGUAAUGUGUUAACUAAAACAAUAACUUAUAUUAAAAGCUUAUGGGCAACUAUAGACAUUAAUCAAAUAUAGUAUGUUUUAUUUGUAUUGUUAGAUGUAACGUUAUACAUUUAAUGUAGCACAUGGUAGCAGUUAUGCUAACAGUCGAGCAGGUUAGUGAAGCGGUGUUUUUAUACUUUUGCCAUCACCCUUUUAUUCUGCUCUCUUUCUGGCUUAAGACAUUUAAAGUUAUCAAUAAAAUCCACAACAAUGUAGGAAAUACGAGCAGUUGAACAAACAUCUGUUGUACAAGCAGAAUUCAAAUUAUUUUAUAAUGGUUUGUAGGUUAUUUAACUUUGAAUUGAUGUUCUAAGUAACUGGUAUAUUAUUGCAUAAAUGUGAUAGUAACUUUCCAAAUUAAUGAGUUGUUUUUAUUAAAGUGUUAUGUUUAACACAAAAUAAUAUUUGAAUUGUUGUUUGCUUUGUGUUAAUUAAGUGCUCUUGCUGAGGAAUGGGAAAAAUAAAGGAGCUGGAAAAAACACCUGCUAGUGACAUCAGCAUCGUCUACACAGUAGUACUAGUAACAAUAUAACAUAAAUAACAAUAAAAUAUAAUUAAUUGAAGUAUGACUUAUUGGGGUAACUGUUUUUUCUUGUAAUAGAACACUAUAGAACUACAUUCACUAUAGAACAGGAACAUCAUUUGUUGGUAAAUUUCUUGCCUAUUUUCUUCCUAGCAAAAAAUGAAUGUAUAUGACAAAGUAGAAUUCAACAACUUUAGCCGUGAUCUCUGUGAUCAGCUCAUCAUCUCUCCAUACCCUCUCCACAUGGAAGUCACCUCUUGCACUUGUCACAAGAUCACACCAGGUUAACUAAGCCAGGAACCAUCAGCUGACCGGGGAAUGCCAAGUGUG
Long non-coding RNA from Carassius auratus (goldfish), 2929 nucleotides. The record is from Ensembl. NCBI's taxonomy places the organism in Eukaryota, Metazoa, Chordata, Actinopteri, Cypriniformes, Cyprinidae.